Callithrix jacchus (white-tufted-ear marmoset) is the source of this 965-nucleotide long non-coding RNA. RefSeq lists it as uncharacterized. Lineage: Eukaryota; Metazoa; Chordata; Mammalia; Primates; Cebidae. The record is from RefSeq and is a predicted model, not a curated record.
AGUUCUACCAUAAUAAAGGUUUAAGGUAAGUCUGAAACCAUUCAAGCUCUUAUUGAAGUGCUACAAAUAUUCUAUCCUUAUGGGUUCUAAGAUGCUCAUUCACAGGCUCAAAGCUGAAUUUCACUCUUUGAUAGAAGCAAGAAGCUGAUAUUAAAGUAAAAGCUAAGAUAAAGUCCUCCGGAUUACAAUGUUAAUCAGAACAAAUAGCUGGGAGAAAAUAUUCAAAAUGAACAGUCUGUCACUGAAGUCAGCAAGUGUGCAGAAAAGGAACUAAAUUUGGGCAUGGGAGACAUCCCAAGGGUUAAGGCAUAUCUGAUUGAUGGUGAGAACAAAGUGUCCUCACCUGGACACCAGGGAUGCCCUCAUUGAGGGUGGCAAAACAGGACAAUGUGGGAAGAAAAAGGUCCUUUGGAAAGGAGACAAACUACUCAGCCAGGUAGAUAGGAAGAAGAAAGGCUCCAACUGCUCUACAGGUUAAGAUACACACAUGUGAUGCCAGAACAGACUUCUCUAAGAACUCAUUCCAGGUAUCCAAGAUCAAGAGGGAUAAUUACAUAUGAUAGAAUGCACAGAGAAGAGUAAUCAAGGUGGACAUGAACUUGUGCUAUGUAAGUUAUGGGUUGAAGAACUCUGUGUGGAAAGCAGAGAAGAAAAAACUUAGGGAACAAGCAAUAGUUGAGUACAACCAUGUGAAACUACAAGAACUGUGUGAGAGAGGGUUUGGAUCCAAAGAUGAAAACAGCUGAAACAAGAGUGGAUUUUCUAUAGAGCUGUUUGAGCAGAGAUAACUUGAAGAUGAUACAGUGGGUAAAACACAACCUCUAGGUGGUUUGAAGACCUCAGGACAUCAGUACCUCCCCAAACUCUCAUAUGCUCUAUAGUUUUUCUAGAAAUGCCCAUGUAUUGGGACAUAACCUAUAAAGAUGAUAGCAACUAAAAUGGAUAAAUCAAUGACAUAAAAUGUU